AGAUGUGAAGGCAAUGUGGCUGCAACAUUUGUCUUCCCAUUGAUCAACCCAGCUCUGGGGUACUUUGGAUGAUCUGGUGGCUAGACAAUAUUGCCUUCUUCCUUCACUUCCACUUGCCACUCGGGAAGCUACAUUCUAGCUUGAACAGGACCUCCUUCAGUACAGAAGGACCAUUUUUCAGUAAAUGUGCCUACUAGAGCUUCCAAAUAAGCCGCAAGGUUCACUAUGUGUACAUAUAUUUACACCU
RNAcentral lists this small RNA (247 nucleotides) under Jaculus jaculus (lesser Egyptian jerboa). Its description in RNAcentral is "7SK RNA (ENSJJAG00000008150.1)". It matches the Rfam family "7SK RNA", at positions 1 to 276 of the family's 331-position model. From Rfam's summary of the family: 7SK was discovered as an abundant small nuclear RNA in the mid-70s but a possible function has only recently been suggested. Two independent studies have found that 7SK RNA binds the CDK9/cyclin T complex (known as elongation factor P-TEFb). The record is from RNAcentral. Lineage: Eukaryota; Metazoa; Chordata; Mammalia; Rodentia; Dipodidae.